This is a non-coding RNA of Triticum aestivum (bread wheat), 126 nucleotides long. The record is from Rfam. NCBI's taxonomy places the organism in Eukaryota, Viridiplantae, Streptophyta, Magnoliopsida, Poales, Poaceae.
UUAAUACUCCCUCCGUCCGGAAAUACUUGUCGGAGAAAAUGGAUGUAUCUAGACGUAUUUUAGUUCUAGAUACAUCCAUUUUUAUUCAUUUAUGCGACAAUUAAUUCCGGACGGAGGGAGUAGAAA